This 496-nucleotide ribosomal RNA is filed under the name uncultured bacterium. Its description in RNAcentral is "partial 16S ribosomal RNA". It matches the Rfam family "Bacterial small subunit ribosomal RNA", at positions 28 to 506 of the family's 1533-position model. The record is from RNAcentral.
GAUGAACGCUGGCGGCGUGCCUAAUACAUGCGAGUCGAGCGAACAGACGAGGAGCUUGCUCCUCUGACGUUAGCGGCGGACGGGUGAGUAACACGUGGAUAACCUACCUAUAAGACUGGGAUAACUUCGGGAAACCGGAGCUAAUACCGGAUAAUAUAUUGAACCGCAUGGUUCAAUAGUGAAAGACGGUUUUGCUGUCACUUAUAGAUGGAUCCGCGCCGCAUUAGCUAGUUGGUAAGGUAACGGCUUACCAAGGCAACGAUGCGUAGCCGACCUGAGAGGGGGAUCGGCCACACUGGAACUGAGACACGGUCCAGACUCCGACGGGAGGCAGCAGUAGGGAAUCUUCCGCAAUGGGCGAAAGCCUGACGGAGCAACGCCGCGUGAGUGAUGAAGGUCUUCGGAUCGUAAAACUCUGUUAUUAGGGAAGAACAAAUGUGUAAGUAACUAUGCACGUCUUGACGGUACCGAAUCAGAAAGCCACGGCUAACUACGG